UUGGCACCUGUGGUCACCCCCUGCCCACCCCCACAACAGCGCCUGCACAACCCUGACCUCACCCAGCCCGGAGGGGCUGCGUGACUGUUCCCCUGCCGUCUGGUGCCUUCUGCCUCCUCUCCUUUCCUGACAGGCACAGGGUGCUGGAGUCAGCCUCCCUGAAGCCUACAGACCCGGAUCAAGACCCUGAGUGCGGAGUGGACGGGAAGCAAGGGGAAGCUGUCCGGAGGUGAGCGCCCCCGCUGGCCCACACUUAGGGCGGCCCUGAGAGACAUGGGGUCCAACUCAAGUUUCUGCGGAGAAAUGUGGGUCUCUCGGAGGGUCAGUGAUUUGCCCAAAGGCAGCCAGGCCGGGCUCUAGCCCCAGGGGCCUCCCUGCACCCAGAGCUGCCUCCUAAGGGAGACUGGGCCACAGAGGAAGUUACUCGCUCCAUCCUCUGGCCCCCGAGUCCGACCCCACCACCCCUGCCCCCCUGACCUGUGGGUUUAACCAGAGUCCAGUCGGGCGAUGGUCCCUGAAAUGACACACAGUUCAUUAUUUUUA
Mustela lutreola (European mink) is the source of this 543-nucleotide long non-coding RNA. RefSeq lists it as uncharacterized. The transcript is spliced from 2 exons. NCBI's taxonomy places the organism in Eukaryota, Metazoa, Chordata, Mammalia, Carnivora, Mustelidae. The record is from RefSeq and is a predicted model, not a curated record.